AACGAACGCUGGCGGCAUGCCUAACACAUGCAAGUCGAACGAGACCUUCGGGUCUAGUGGCGCACGGGUGCGUAACGCGUGGGAACCUGCCCUUAGGUUCGGAAUAACUCCCCGAAAGGGGUGCUAAUACCGGAUAAUGUCUUCGGACCAAAGAUUUAUCGCCUUUGGAUGGGCCCGCGUUGGAUUAGCUAGUUGGUAGGGUAAAAGCCUACCAAGGCGACGAUCCAUAGCUGGUCUGAGAGGAUGAUCAGCCACACUGGGACUGAGACACGGCCCAGACUCCUACGGGAGGCGGCAGUGGGGAAUAUUGGACAAUGGGCGAAAGCCUGAUACAGCAAUGCCGCGUGAGUGAUGAAGGCCUUAGGGUUGUAAAGCUCUUUUACCCGGGAUGAUAAUGACAGUACCGGGAGAAUAAGCUCCGGCUAACUCCGUG
This 433-nucleotide ribosomal RNA is filed under the name uncultured bacterium. RNAcentral describes it as "partial 16S ribosomal RNA". It matches the Rfam family "Bacterial small subunit ribosomal RNA", at positions 29 to 507 of the family's 1533-position model. The record is from RNAcentral.